This 497-nucleotide ribosomal RNA is filed under the name uncultured bacterium. RNAcentral describes it as "partial 16S ribosomal RNA". It matches the Rfam family "Bacterial small subunit ribosomal RNA", at positions 28 to 507 of the family's 1533-position model. The record is from RNAcentral.
GAUGAACGCUGGCGGCGUGCCUAAUACAUGCAAGUCGAGCGAACGGACGAGAAGCUUGCUUCUCUGAUGUUAGCGGCGGACGGGUGAGUAACACGUAGAUAACCUACCUAUAAGACUGGGAUAACUUCGGGAAACCGGAGCUAAUACCGGAUGAUAUUUUGAACCGCAUGGUUCAAAAGUGAAAGACGGUCUUGCUGUCACUUAUAGAUGGAUCCGCGCUGCAUUAGCUAGUUGGUAAGGUAACGGCUUACCAAGGCAACGAUGCAUAGCCGACCUGAGAGGGUGAUCGGCCACACUGGAACUGAGACACGGUCCAGACUCCUACGGGAGGCAGCAGUAGGGAAUAUUCCACAAUGGGCGAAAGCCUGACGGAGCCACGCCGCGUGAGUGAUGAAGGUCUUCGGAUCGUAAAACUCUGUUAUUAGGGAAGAACAUAUGUGUAAGUAACUGUGCACAUCUUGACGGUACCUAAUCAGAAAGCCACGGCUAACUACGUG